RNAcentral lists this ribosomal RNA (112 nucleotides) under Paramormyrops kingsleyae. Lineage: Eukaryota; Metazoa; Chordata; Actinopteri; Osteoglossiformes; Mormyridae. The record is from RNAcentral.
GUCAUCAGCCAUACUACCUGCAGUUCAGACCAGGUAACUCACUGGAAGCAGGUUUUGGCCUGGCCAGUACCUGGAUGGGAGACUAGCAAGGAAAGCUGGAGUGCUGCUGGGA